GUGGGUAUAGCUCAGUGGUAGAGCACAUGCUUAGCAGGCAUGAGGUCCUGGGUUCAAUCUCCAGCACUUCCA
RNAcentral lists this transfer RNA (72 nucleotides) under Camelus bactrianus (Bactrian camel). It matches the Rfam family "tRNA". From Rfam's summary of the family: Transfer RNA (tRNA) molecules are approximately 80 nucleotides in length. Their secondary structure includes four short double-helical elements and three loops (D, anti-codon, and T loops). Further hydrogen bonds mediate the characteristic L-shaped molecular structure. tRNAs have two regions of fundamental functional importance: the anti-codon, which is responsible for specific mRNA codon recognition, and the 3' end, to which the tRNAs corresponding amino acid is attached (by aminoacyl-tRNA synthetases). tRNAs cope with the degeneracy of the genetic code in two manners: having more than one tRNA (with a specific anti-codon) for a particular amino acid; and 'wobble' base-pairing, i.e. permitting non-standard base-pairing at the 3rd anti-codon position. RNAcentral also lists the same sequence under 2 other names. The record is from Rfam by way of RNAcentral. Lineage: Eukaryota; Metazoa; Chordata; Mammalia; Artiodactyla; Camelidae.